GGGAUGAAAAUGAUCAAGAAAGGAAAUCUCUCACCAUGCCCCUUCCUCCUGGCCACACCCUGCCCUUCUCCUUACCCUCCUGAUCUCUAGACACAAUCUCUCCCACCAGAAGGAUGAGCAAUUUCCUCUGUACUUCAGAUCCUGGGCAACCAUAGCCUGUCAUUCCCAACCCAAGUGUUUGAAACUGGACUACUUUUUAGGCAUGACUCAGCACCUUUGUUCCAUGUGACACAAUGGCCAAAAUGACCAACUCCAGAGGAAGACUUCAGAGUGGCUUAUCUUCUCUGCGUACUGAGCUCAUCAGGUCAGCCAGCACUCUCUACAUGAAACGUCUGUUUGUGAACUAUUGAUAUCCCAAUGCUCACUAUUUAAAUGCUUUCUUUCUUCUUUUCCGUUUCUUUUUUUUUUUUUUUCUUUUUGAGACAGAAUCUUGCUCUGUCACCCAGGCUGGAAUGCGGUGGCAUGAUCUUGGGUCACUGCAACCUCCCAGGUUCAACCAAUUCUCCUGCCUCAACUUUCUGAGUAGCUGGGAUUACAGGCAUGUGCCACCACGCCUGGCUAAUUUUUGUAUUUUUAGUAGAGAUGGGGUUUCACCAUGUUGGCCAGGCUGGUCUCGAACUCCUGACCUCAAGUGAUCUGCCCACCUCUGCUUCCAAAAAUGCAGGGAUUAUAGGCGUGAACUACCACUUAUGGCUCUACUGAAAUGCUUUCUGAAAGUAGAUGCAAAUAAAAUUUCCAAACCCACAGGGACAAAGCAGGAAGAAUAACUCAGCUAUGACAAUUUCUUCUGUCCAUUCACCUUCCGUAGUAGCACCCCUUGGGGAAGGAUGAGUGUGUGUCAGGCCAGAUGAGAGGAACACCCGCCCUGCGUUAACUUCCCACAAUUGCACUCCCAUGUAAGAGACAGGUCUGUCCUCUUCUUCCACACGUGUUCUCUGUGGCAUACUAACUAUCAACUAUACUCUUUACCCAUUAAUUUUCCAAAUGUAAUACUUUGGAAAAAAUAUCCAAGUUUUAUAACACAAAGAAGCCUACAAGAAUCCAGACAAAUAUCAUUUUUAUUUUUUUCCUGUGUGUAGACCAGAAUAUUCUGUAAUACAGUCCACUGUAAUUUACAGUGCUAUCUAGAGCUGGCAUAAACUUAAAGGAAAAGAGCCCCAGAUAUUAAAAAUGCAAUGGAGAAAAUCCCAUCUUAAGAUAUUACUGACUUGCUCCUAAUUAAGAAAGGAAAUUCCCUACUGUUGAUGGUUAAUACUGAGUGUCAACUUGAUUGAAUGAAGGAUGCAAAGUACUGAUCCUGGGUGUUUCUGUGAGGGUGUUGACUGAAUUGAAGGAUGCAAAGUACUGAUCCUGGGUGUUUCUGUGAGGGUGCUGACUGAAUUGAAGGAUGUGAAGUACUGAUCCUGGGUGUUUCCGUGAGGGUGCUGACUGAAUUGAAGGAUGUGAAGUACUGAUCCUAGGUGUUUCCGUGAGGGUGCUGACUGAAUUGAAGGAUGUGAAGUACUGAUCGUGGGUGUUUCCGUGAGGGUGCUGACUGAAUUGAAGGAUGCAAAGUACUGAUCCUGGGUGUUUCUGUGAGGGUGUUGACUGAAUUGAAGGAUGUGAAGUACUGAUCCUGGGUGUUUCUGUGAGGGUGCUGACUGAAUUGAAGGAUGUGAAGUACUGAUCCUGGGUGUUUCUGUUGUCAAAGGAGACUGACAUUUGAGUCCCUGGGCUGGGAAAGGCAGACCCACCCUUAAUCUGUGUGUGCACCAUCUAAUCAGCUGCCAGCGCGGCCAGGAUGUAAAGCAGGCAGAAAAAUGUGAAAAGAGAGACUGGCCUAGCCUCCCAGCCUACAUAUUUCUCAUGCUGGAUGCUUCCUGCCCUCAAACAUCAGACUCCCAGUUCUUCAGUUUUGGGACUCAGACUGGCUCUUCUUGUUCCUCAGCCUGCAGACGACCUACUGUGGAACCUUGCAGUCACGGGACAACAAUAACAGAACUACCUACAAGGCUCACUUCCUAGAACACGACAGAAACUCUGCACAAGAAAACAGGAAAUCCACAAAGCCUGCAGAAUGGUAACAACCACCAUACAUAUGUACACAUAUAUAUGUAUGCACACCGUUUUAGAACGUAAAAACUCUUGAAUAAAAAUAAUCAAACUGGAACCUCAAGAUCCAACUGUGAGUAAGAAAGAAGAAGGAAUGGGCUGAAGGAGGGCAGUACCCGAGCGAAGGCACACAGCUGGUGAGCCGGGGGCAGAGACCAAGCUCAAGGUCUCAGAAGUCACCUCUUGAGCUGUUUCCACAACACCACAUGCUACUCACAUUUAUUUAUUUGGAGACAUCUCUCACUCCAUCGCCCAGGCUACAGUGCAGUGGCGUGAUCUUGGCUCACUGCAACCUCCACCUCCCAGGCUCAAGCUAUCCUCCCACCUCAAUUUUCCAAGUAGCUAGGACUGCAGGUGCAUGCCACUGCACCUAACUUUUUGUAUUUUUAGUAAAGACAGGAUUUCACCAUUUUGCCCAGGCAAGUGUUGAACUCCUGGGCUCAAGUGAUCUGCCUGCCUCGGCCUCCCAUAGUGCUCGGACUACGGGCAUGAGCCAUCAUGCCUAGCCUACUCAUAAUCAUUUAUUUGUAGGUACAAUCACCAAAAUCAUCUCUGUUUUGUGAUAUUUCUAAU
Callithrix jacchus (white-tufted-ear marmoset) is the source of this 2664-nucleotide long non-coding RNA. RefSeq lists it as uncharacterized. The record is from RefSeq and is a predicted model, not a curated record. NCBI's taxonomy places the organism in Eukaryota, Metazoa, Chordata, Mammalia, Primates, Cebidae.